This 253-nucleotide ribosomal RNA is filed under the name uncultured bacterium. Its description in RNAcentral is "partial 16S ribosomal RNA". It matches the Rfam family "Bacterial small subunit ribosomal RNA", at positions 524 to 776 of the family's 1533-position model. The record is from RNAcentral.
UACGUAGGGGGCAAGCGUUGUCCGGAAUCAUUGGGCGUAAAGAGCGCGUAGGCGGUCCGGUAAGUCCGCUGUGAAAGUCGGGGGCUCAACCCUCGAAUGCCGGUGGAUACUGCCGGGCUAGAGUCCGGAAGAGGCGAGUGGAAUUCCUGGUGUAGCGGUGGAAUGCGCAGAUAUCAGGAGGAACACCGAUGGCGAAGGCAGCUCGCUGGGACGGUACUGACGCUGAGGCGCGAAAGCGUGGGGAGCGAACAGG